UAACGGCGUCUGGGCCGGGCCACGGCUCCAAAACAAAGGGCAGGCGGCCCGCGGGGCGGCGGCGGGAGGAUGCCUCGCGCCCUGCCUAGACGCUAACGGCCUCAGCGCGUCCCGGGCCGCGCCGGGAACGCCUGAGAGCCAAGCCCGCGCUGACCGGGGCCCGGGCCGGAUGGGCGCUGCGGGCCGGGGCGCGGACCGCGGAGCGGCCAGACAAGAUCUCACUCUGUUGCCCAGGCUGGUCUCAAAUUCCUGGCCUCAAGUGAUCCUCCCGUCUCAGCCUCCCAAUGUGCUGGGAUUUAUAGGUUACGUUUUUCUCUCGUCCCAGCUGUGUGGACAGUGCCACACGCCCUCCUGGACAACGACGGCUCUUGCGUGCAUUUUCCAGUGUUUCUUUUGUCAGAGAGGCCAGCAGAGCCAGGGUUCUUCCAGAACCAGCCCUGAGCUGAGUGAGGAGUGCCCAGGAGAGAUGGUGAAAAUGACAAAGUCCAAAACUUUCCAAGCGUAUCUGCCGAAUUGUCACCGAACGUACAGCUGCAUCCACUGCAGAGCACACCUGGCCAAUCAUGAUGAGCUCAUCUCCAAGUCCUUUCAGGGGAGCCAGGGACGCGCCUACCUCUUCAAUUCUGUGGUGAACGUGGGCUGCGGCCCCGCAGAGGAGAGGGUCCUUCUCACCGGGCUGCAUGCGGUCGCCGACAUCUACUGCGAGAACUGCAAGACCACACUCGGGUGGAAAUACCCUGGGCGACAGAGUGAGACCCUAUCUCAAAACAAGCAAAUGAAAAACCUUUUAGUGUAUGUGCUGCCGAAGUGAGCACAUGAAAAACUUUCAACAACAAAUGUAAAGUAAACCUGCACUGCCUCAGUGGACUCACCUGGAACAGACCCUUCAGCGCUGGGAGCAUGCAUUUGAGAGCAGUCAGAAAUAUAAGGAAGGAAAAUUCAUCAUUGAGCUUGCUCACAUGAUCAAAGACAAUGGCUGGGAGUAAAGUGCGAACUUUCCCUUCUCCUUCGAAUGCUGUUUUGUGAAAGAAACUGAAUGUAAUGGAAACGUAGGAGCAGCCGGUGGGAGCCUUUCCUGCCCUCUGACCUCAAAGGCUAGCUGCGCAUAGCUCUUGACACACUCGGCCAUCUCUGUGGGUAAGGUGUCCCCUCGGAUCUGUCCUGUUCACGUACACGGUUGUUUCUGAAAAUCUUCAAUGCGCUUCUAACUUCUCAAGUUCUAGAGAAAGAAUUAACCAACUGAUGACUUACCCGCCUAGUUAAUACCUUCCUUUCACCUGUCUUCAAUAUAGUUGGGCUCUGCUUUUUUAAGGUUCAGUUGAAAACCAAACUGAGGCCGGGCGCAGUGGCUCACGCCUGUAAUCCCAGCACUUUGGGAGGCCGAGGCGGGUGGAUCACCUGAGGUCAGGGGUUCUAGACCAGCCUGGCCAACAUGGGGAAACCCCGUCUCUACUAAAAAUACAAAAAUUAGCUGGGCAUGGUGGUGGCUGCCUGUAAUCUUAGCUACUCAGGAGGCUGAGGCAGGAGAAUCACUUGAACCUGGGAGGCGGAGGUUUCAGUGAGCUAGGAUCGCGCCAUCGCACUCCAGCCUGGGGCACAAGAGCGAGACUUCGUCUCAAAAAAAAAAAAAAUUAGCUGGGUAUGGUGGCGUAUGCCUGUAGUCCCACCUACUCAGGAGGCUGAUGCAGGGGAAUCACUUGAACCCAGCAGGCGGAGGUUGCAGUGAGCCGAGAUCGUGCCACUGCACUUCAGCCUGGCGACAGAGCAGGACUCCGUCUGAAAAAAAAGAGAACCAAACUAAGUCUCUGAAGACCAUAGGGACAGGGUCUCUUUAGAUAGUAAGUCUCACUAUUCCCCUUUUUAGAGAAAAGGUAUUGUAGCCCAUCCUCCACCCUACUCUUUUUCUUAAAAUUCGCAAAACUUCAAAUUGGCUAUUCCUCUUUCAAAUGAACCACUGAAGUACAGUGUUCAUUUAAGAAUCUUACAGAGGCAGUCAACAGACUUAUACACUAAGGGUAUUUUUGGUUUUUAGCCUGUUCAGAAACAGGGGCCAGCACUGAUGACAUUUUAGAUACACUCUAAAUUGAGAAAUGUGUCUAGUGGAACAUGUUGUUUAUUUAAGCCAGUAGAUUCCUUAUCUAGAAAGCAGGUGAGCUGGCCCUUAGAGAAGGCCGUCCCAGGGGCCUGCAGAGGUGCCGUUACUGAGGCGACAGCCUCACAGGUCUGGUACCAGGGGUUGUGCCCUCGGCGGUGACAGCAACUUAGGUGUCAGGCAGUUGCUGAGGGGCCGGUCCAUGUCAUUAUAGAGUAACACACUGGACCGAGUAAAAGUCGGAUUUCAUUUUCUACCCUGGAUGUACUUGAAAAGAAUUAUUUUUGCAUAUGAAAGAGGCCAGAACCCACAGGAAAAACUUCAAAACUUGACUUUUGCCAGAAUGUAGAAAAUUUGUUCAGAAAAGGUUAAAGCAACAAGACAGGUUUAGCCUUUGUGCAUAAGCCUGCUAGAUGCAUCGCCCGUCCCUGCGUGGUGCUGUCCCAUGUCACUUGAACUGAUAGAAGGGCCUGUGCAAUCUCCUAAGGCCUGUGUUUCUGCCACAUAUUUUAUUAUGAAUUACAAUCCACCCAUCCACCUGCCCUCCACCAGGAGUGGGCACCCCAUAAGGGUUUAGGCCACUUUGCAGAGGAUGGAGGUCAAAAACCAUUCCCGGAUAAGUUUGGUUUUCAACAUUUAGUAACUUGUCUCAGGGCACAGAGGGCAGGCAGGAGACUGGGGGAGGCCAAGGGGCAGCAGAUAGGAGAGCACUGAGCCUGGACAGUUCUCAGCCUGGCGAGUGGCUCUGAAGCUGCCUUCAGACAAGGCUCCUCUGGGGCAAGAGUGCGAGCUGGCACACAGGAAGAACGUGGCCACCUGUCCAGCUUCACACCUCCCCUGACGUAAGCCCUUCCUAAACCCAGAGCUACGGUCCAUGCAGGCACUGGGCUGUGCCCACUCGAGCUCACUGCCCACGUAGAGCAUGCCUUUGGGUGCCAUCUCUUGGCCCAAGCCUUGGUAUGUGGGACAUGCCGCUGCCCUGGUGGGCAUGGCACUGAGAUGCAUCAAUUCAGCAGGAGUGACAAAGGCAGAAGUUCCUUUAAAGCACAUCUUCCACUUAGGAAAGGAAGGAAGUUUUUGUACUGUCUCGUAAGCCUCCACAUCCAGCUAUGGCCCUGCAAGCUGCCUUAUCCCUGCGCUAGUCUCCCUCACGGGUUCAGGCUGGCCCAGCACAUCCCGACCUCCUGAGCUCGCGUGCCGCCAUCCAGAGCACAGGGGUCACCGCACGCUGCAGGGCUCUUGCUGCCUUGUCUCAAGCCUGGAGAGGCUCUGCCCACGAGCUGGCACAUGAAGUUAGCAACGCCUGUGGCUUCAGUCAAUUGUCUGAGACUCUGAAGAGGCCGAGACACCUUCCCGACUGGAAGAAGUUGUUCACUGAAAACUUAUUUUAAACUGACCCUUCCCUUCGAGUCUUCAUUCCUCUCCCAUGUGGGAACCCAGCCUUGGAUGCCCUGGGGACUAGGGGAAACAGUUGGGGGUUUGUGCCGUCCCCAGCCUGCUAUGGGUGUGAGGACAGCCAGGUCCUGAGUGACUCAUGUUUCACUUACAUUGAAGAAUCUUCUAAAACUCUUCCGAGUGGUUUUACACACUCAAGUUCUAUUUAAGAGCUGUUCUGUGUGUUGGGCGAGUUCGCUGCUCCCUCGAUUUGGGCACUUUGGUUUUUGUCUUUCCUGACGGCAUCGAUUGGACAUUUUUUACUAGUCUUAUGAAUUUUCUUAUGACUUAUUUUGUAUUUUUUUUUUGUAACUUAUACCAACAAAACUUUUAUCACUUUUUGUUGUUGUUGUUGGGCUUCUGCAAAAUGCAAGCUCAUUUUUAAACCAAAUGACUAGACCAUGAGCUGGCGACAGGGGAAGUGCUAUUCACAAGACCAUGUCUACCACCCUCUAAAAUUCCUGAACAAUAUCAUCUGGGACUUCUAUUUAUUUAAAACAAAUCUUCCUUGAGAGCCUUGGGAGGUGAUGUCAGGGUUAUAAAUGGCACAGUGCAUUUGCUGUAGGAAUGUGGUUUGGCACUGUUUUAUACACACACAGUAUUUUUAUACCUUAAUGCUUAUUCUUGAUGGCAUCUGUCAGAUAUGAGAAUCAGAAAUAAGAAUCUUCCCAAAAUCCUUUAAUUUACCUGAUGCCCUCAUCAGGUUGUUAAAAAUUCAAGUGGUUUUAAUAGCUAAAAACCUGCAAAUUAAGCUCUAAAACAAACUACAGAAAUGUAAACCUUCACUUGCCAAAGGUCCUUGGUGGCCUGUCCCCUGCCCCAGGGGCAGAUGGCCCUGAAGCCCUUCCCUCACUGUGCAGGCCACUGGGUGAGGCUGGAUGGUCACCCACGGCGGCUUCACUGCAAGGAGCAGGACUGCCAAGCUCAAGCACGGGGCCUUCAACUUCCCCUGUCCUCUGGCCACGCUGCCAGCCCUUGGUCCUUAUCUGUGUGAGGUUUACAAAUAAAGCUUCUGAUGUCAAAUGUUUA
RNA transcript from Piliocolobus tephrosceles (Ugandan red Colobus), 4555 nucleotides. It is a transcript of the gene named yippee like 1, with no coding region annotated. The transcript is spliced from 7 exons. The record is from RefSeq and is a predicted model, not a curated record. NCBI's taxonomy places the organism in Eukaryota, Metazoa, Chordata, Mammalia, Primates, Cercopithecidae.